UACGGAGGAUCCAAGCGUUAUCCGGAUUUAUUGGGUUUAAAGGGUGCGUAGGCGGCCAGUUAAGUCAGGUGUGAAAGACGGUAGCUCAACUAUCGCAGUGCCUUUGAUACUGAUUGGCUUGAAUGUACUUGAGGUAGGCGGAAUGUGACAAGUAGCGGUGAAAUGCAUAGAUAUGAGGCAGAACACCAAUGGCGAAGGCAGCUUACUAAAGUAUGAUUGACGCUGAGGCACGAAAGCGUGGGGAGCAAACAGG
Molecule: ribosomal RNA, 253 nt
Filed under: uncultured bacterium
Lineage: Bacteria
Description: partial 16S ribosomal RNA
Rfam family: Bacterial small subunit ribosomal RNA
Source: RNAcentral